Molecule: ribosomal RNA, 478 nt
Filed under: uncultured bacterium
Lineage: Bacteria
Description: partial 16S ribosomal RNA
Rfam family: Bacterial small subunit ribosomal RNA
Source: RNAcentral
GACGAACGCUGGCGGCGUGCUUAACACAUGCAAGUCGAGCGAUGAAACUCCUUCGGGAGUGGAUUAGCGGCGGACGGGUGAGUAACACGUGGGUAACCUGCCUCAUAGAGGGGAAUAGCCUUCCGAAAGGAAGACUAAUACCGCAUAAGAUUGUAGUACCGCAUGGUACAGCAAUUAAAGGAGUAAUCCGCUAUGAGAUGGACCCGCGUCGCAUUAGCUAGUUGGUGAGGUAACGGCUCACCAAGGCGACGAUGCGUAGCCGACCUGCGAGGGUGAUCGGCCACAUUGGGACUGAGACACGGCCCAGACUCCUACGGGAGGCAGCAGUGGGGAAUAUUGCACAAUGGGGGAAACCCUGAUGCAGCAACGCCGCGUGAGUGAUGACGGUCUUCGGAUUGUAAAACUCUGUCUUCAGGGACGAUAAUGACGGUACCUGAGGAGGAAGCCACGGCUAACUACGUGCCAGCCGCCGCCGUAA